Long non-coding RNA from Dreissena polymorpha, 2234 nucleotides. RefSeq lists it as uncharacterized. The transcript has 3 exons. The record is from RefSeq and is a predicted model, not a curated record. Lineage: Eukaryota; Metazoa; Mollusca; Bivalvia; Myida; Dreissenidae.
UAACAAAAGUGGAUUCAAACGACGUGCUUCACGAAGCGCUACAAAGUUUGUAUCAUAUAGGAAGCAUGGCUAACAGCUUAGUUCAAACGAUUACAGCAAAUGAGAAUAAAAAGCAAUUUAUCAUGGCUUGUCUUGUUUCAGAACAAGAACUUGUCUUAAAAGAGUUCGCUGUUAUGGAAAAUUUCAAACAGUACAUACAUGUGUUGGCUACUCAAUCAGUCGAUCAGAUACCAAUAUCUGAUGGUUAUUUUAUGAAACUUCCUAAAUCAAUUUAUUUGCGGAACAAUUGUAACCAUGGGGAAGCCAGACUUUUAGAUCCAGACGGCGAAAUGCGCCGAAAGAUCACCAGCAAUACACAGGCAGUUGUUGAUGAGUGCAAUACUUUUUUACAGGACAUGGAGUUAUCCUUUCGGGAACAGUUUGGUGAUUCUACGAGACCAUACCUGCUAAUGUACAGCCACUAUGUGCCUUGUACUAUAGCCAAACACUUUUGUGCCGGGCUACUUAAACAGUUUGUCAGAAAAACGGGUCAUAAUGUAUUGGUGGGAUACACGGAUGUGUAUUGCAAAAGCAAUUGUGAAAAAGCAUUAAAAACUCUUCGCGAAUCUGGAAUUAAGGUUAGACAUAUACCCCGGGAACAGUGGACUACUCAAAUGUGUUGCUUGUUCAAAUACAUGAUAACGCUUCAACAAUCAAAACAAAGAAUGGAGGAGGAGAAUGGCAUUCUAUCCGUUCUAUCUAGUCAUUUAUUGAGUGCAAAACAAUCCAUGGCAAAAUGUAUAGGGAUAUGUUGAUCAUUAAAUGAUUAUAAAUACAUUUUCUGUAUUGUGAAUGUUUUUUUCGAAUGAUUUGUCAAAGCAAAACACGCAUUGCACUGAUUGUGUAAGUUUGGAAAAGUGGAUUGUUUCUUAAACAUCAUAAGACGGAUACGAAAGAUUUACGAGAGUUACAUAACAGAAAUCGACAGGCAAGAUUACAUGCGACAAUCGGGUAAAUGAGGAAAGAGACGAUGUUCAAAAUGAAUGAUCAUUCAUGGCCCCCCCCCCCCCCCACCUCCGUCCCACAGUGUAUUGGAAAAGUAAUUGUGCACGAAAUAGUGCGCGUGCAACAAACGACACAAGCUGAACGGACAAUCGACAGCAGCAUAUAAUAUAGAGGCGAUUGGAAUGGUCGGGAAUAUAACAGCUUGCCAUGAAAGGUCCGUUAAGUGUGUCCGAGUACUUCCGAUUGUAUCAAGUAAAUUCUGGCGAGGAUGUAUCGGCAGAAAUCGACAGUGGUACGGCGACAUUUGCAGUCGGACUGGCACAUUAUGUUUGCAAUUUUUCUAUCAAUAUUGUUUCCUGUGUAAUUGCUCGCAUGUAUAGAAUGAGUUAUACUGUUAAAUAUGAUUGAUGGUUGUGAUUGAAUUCAUUUUCGUACAUUAAGUAUCACACAUCAUAUUAUCUUGUAAGUCAAAGGCCGCUUUCACAAGAUUUUGUUAAGGCACAAAAUUGUCCGCGAAUAGCAUGUUUACCAUAAGUACUUGCGCACUAUUCCGGUAUGUGAUAUGAUUUUUUUAACAUAUUGAUACAUUAUAAACGUCGUUUUGCCGUUACGUCAUUUAGUGGUUAUGAUGUCUGUUCAACAGUUGGUCUGCCCAAUAAUAGUUUAAACAGCAAAAACCUAAGACUGCUUUCUUGUUCAUAGAGUAGUUAUAUUUCACGGAAACAGUGUGUUUCAAAUUACAAACUACAAUUGAACUUAUAUUCACCUUUCUCAUAUUGUAGUAUAUUAUUCAUACCCUUCAACUCAAAUUAAAACAUUCACUUGUAUUUGAUGCAAAGACAAUAAAAGCUUGAUUUGUAUGUGUUCAUAUCAUAGUCGUUUUUUAAUGAUGUAUGAGUAUGCAGUAUUAUUGGUUGUUUUACGUAUACAUGUAUCAUUGUUGUCAUCGUUGGUUGCAAGUGACAAUGUCUGUGUAAAAUGAUGUUACGUGUUUAAUAGAAGUGAUAUUAUGUCAGUUUUACAAAUAAAUGUGUGCACACUGUGCUACAAAUAAAUAUAAAUUGGUAAAUGCCGAAUGACAGUACCAUGUAUAUCUACUGAUAAUAAUUAAUUGCGUUAAUAUAUUUUUCACUUGGACAAAUGCACAGUCGGGUCGGACUCAAAGGUCUUACGUCUCUUUCUUGCAAUACUAAUGUAUGAAUUGUGUUAAACUGAUGAUUCAUUUAUGAUAAAUAAUCUAAUUUAUGGCU